GACAGAGGGUGCGAACGUUGCUCGGAAUUACUGGGCGUAAAGCGCGUGUAGGCGGGUGAUCAAGUCAGGUGUGAAAUCCCCAGGCUCAACCUGGGAACUGCACUUGAAACUGGUCGCCUUGAGUGUUGGAGAGGGAAGUGGAAUUCCUGGUGUAGCGGUGAAAUGCGCAGAUAUCAGGAGGAACACCGGUGGCGAAGGCGGGUCUCUGGGCCGAUAUUGACGCUGAGGAGCGAAAGCGUGGGGAGCGAACAGG
Molecule: ribosomal RNA, 253 nt
Filed under: uncultured bacterium
Lineage: Bacteria
Description: partial 16S ribosomal RNA
Rfam family: Bacterial small subunit ribosomal RNA
Source: RNAcentral